This 292-nucleotide long non-coding RNA is filed under the name Aquilegia coerulea. RNAcentral describes it as "long non-coding RNA (ACOE_LNC000066)". Lineage: Eukaryota; Viridiplantae; Streptophyta; Magnoliopsida; Ranunculales; Ranunculaceae. The record is from RNAcentral.
UGUUCUUCUGUCCUUUCAACACCCAAUAUAUCACCAAGCUUUCUGCAAGUUCCCAAAACCUCUGCCGUGAUUUGUUCAUACUUUAUUGUAUCUGAAACACAUAAAAAGGACCACUAUGCAAGGGUAGAAAAUAAUAGCAAAACAUGAUUUAAGCAUUUCUCCAAUAAUACAUACUACACAAACCUCUAAAUUCAUGUUCCAAGAUAAUAUAUAAAAUUCAUGAACAAUGUGCAGGGUCCGAAUGGAGGUAUUACUGGUUUAAUAUACUGAUGGUCUGUAAAAUCAAGUGGAU